RNAcentral lists this long non-coding RNA (1048 nucleotides) under Taeniopygia guttata (zebra finch). Its description in RNAcentral is "lncRNA (ENSTGUG00000020124.1)". The record is from RNAcentral. Lineage: Eukaryota; Metazoa; Chordata; Aves; Passeriformes; Estrildidae.
GGAAAAGUCUGUUGAAUUUCAGUGUUUCUUCCUAGGCUGGGCUUUGGCUUGAGACUUAGGGACAGGUUGCAAGCCCUCCCGGUUGCAGCAGGCAAUAAAUGCCUCGGUUUGUUCCUGCUUUGUGAAGAAUAUUUGCUGACCAUCAAAAUGCAGGGGCUGCUGCUGGUUUUGACCAUAUCUUUGGGGCGUGCUUCCUGCUUUUGAAAGUUCUGAAGUCACAAUUUACGUGGCUGUAUCUUUGCGUGAGGCCAGUUUUACUUGGCAGCAGAAGGUGUGACUUUGAAGCACGACAGUUCUUUUUUGCUGUCUCCUUGCCAGUGUUCCAUAGCUCUGCAGGUUUUACAUCCAGGUUACAGUUAAUACUGGAAGAGUUACCCUGAGCAAGUCCCUGUGUCACUUUAACAGUGGCCUAGGAGAUGCCUGGAAGAUAGUGGGUGCACUGUGACUCCUUCCUGGGAAGAUCUUGUUCCAGGGACAUGGGAUACCAGGAUGCCCUGAACAACAUCCAGUGACUGAUAUAUUUUACAGGAACUGCCUCGCAAUGGGUGUAAAACCUCAAUGCACAUUUCUCUGAAGGUCUUCUGUCCCUCCUGAAGACCUUCAUUUUGGUCAUCCUCAGUCUUUGAACUCCUGGCAUGUUAAAUUUUUGGACAUUAUGAAACACAUCAGGAGUGUCUGUUGAAAUGAAUGAAUGUUCCAGUGGGCAAUGCACACGUGAGAGAAAAUCCUUGAGCGCAGUGGCGGAACACUGCUCGGAGUAUCUGCCUGGAAUACCAAGCUCUGAGUUUGCACAGGCUCGAUGGCAGUUUCAGAGUAACAAAAGGAUAAAUGAUGCUGAUCUUUCUCCACACAAUGACACCUUUAAGAGAGAGUUACAGUCAAAACCACAUGCAUUCAGAUUGUGCAGCGUUGUGUCCGUGAACUUCCAGAGUUUGCAUUAAAAAGUGACAGAACAUCAGAGUGCCAGAAGCUUCUCAUAUUGUGGCCCUGAAGGUAAAAGCAAAACUAUCUUGGUCUGUGUUUGGGAACACUGUACAGAAUCUCUGCA